Molecule: ribosomal RNA, 500 nt
Filed under: uncultured bacterium
Lineage: Bacteria
Description: partial 16S ribosomal RNA
Rfam family: Bacterial small subunit ribosomal RNA
Source: RNAcentral
AUUGAACGCUGGCGGAAUGCUUUACACAUGCAAGUCGAACGGCAGCACGGACUUCGGUCUGGUGGCGAGUGGCGAACGGGUGAGUAAUGUAUCGGAACGUGCCCAGUCGUGGGGGAUAACGUAGUGAAAAUUACGCUAAAACCGCAUACGAUCUAUGGAUGAAAGCGGGGGAUCGCAAGACCUCGCGCGAUUGGAGCGGCCGAUAUCAGAUUUGGUAGUUGGUGGGGUAAAGGCCCACCAAGCCAACGAUCUGUAGCUGGUCUGAGAGGACGACCAGCCACACGGGACCUGAGACACGGUCCAGACUCCUACGGGAGGCAGCAGUGGGGAAUGUUGGACAAUGGGCGAAAGCCUGAUCCAGCCAUUCCGCGUGCAGGAUGAAGGCCCUCGGGUUGUAAACUGCUUUUGUACAGAACGAAAAGGUUUCUACUAAUACUAGGAGCUCAUGACGGUACUGUAAGAAUAAGCACCGGCUAACUACGUGCCAGCAGCCGCCGCGG